Molecule: ribosomal RNA, 586 nt
Filed under: uncultured bacterium
Lineage: Bacteria
Description: partial 16S ribosomal RNA
Rfam family: Bacterial small subunit ribosomal RNA
Source: RNAcentral
UGGGGAAUUUUGGACAAUGGGGGAAACCCUGAUCCAGCCAUCCCGCGUGUGCGAUGAAGGCCUUCGGGUUGUAAAGCACUUUUGGCAGGAAAGAAACGUCGCGGGUUAAUACCCCGCGAAACUGACGGUACCUGCAGAAUAAGCACCGGCUAACUACGUGCCAGCAGCCGCGGUAAUACGUAGGGUGCAAGCGUUAAUCGGAAUUACUGGGCGUAAAGCGUGCGCAGGCGGUUCGGAAAGAAAGAUGUGAAAUCCCAGAGCUUAACUUUGGAACUGCAUUUUUAACUACCGGGCUAGAGUGUGUCAGAGGGAGGUGGAAUUCCGCGUGUAGCAGUGAAAUGCGUAGAUAUGCGGAGGAACACCGAUGGCGAAGGCAGCCUCCUGGGAUAACACUGACGCUCAUGCACGAAAGCGUGGGGAGCAAACAGGAUUAGAUACCCUGGUAGUCCACGCCCUAAACGAUGUCAACUAGCUGUUGGGGCCUUCGGGCCUUGGUAGCGCAGCUAACGCGUGAAGUUGACCGCCUGGGGAGUACGGUCGCAAGAUUAAAACUCAAAGGAAUUGACGGGGUCGAUANCUGUUUCCU